RNAcentral lists this unclassified non-coding RNA (811 nucleotides) under Hevea brasiliensis (rubber tree). The record is from RNAcentral. Lineage: Eukaryota; Viridiplantae; Streptophyta; Magnoliopsida; Malpighiales; Euphorbiaceae.
CUCAUAUCGAGCAAUGGAGAAUAUGAGAGUCACAUUGACACUUAUGCCAUUUGCAAUAGUAUCCCUAAUCGAUGGGAUGCAAGCAGCAGUAGCAGGGAUCUUGAUGUACACAUUCGGGCGGCUAACGACUUUGUGGAGCCACUUUGCAGCCUCAACGGUGCCUUCAGUAUCAUCAGCAAGCUUUGGAGAGACUUCGACUGAAACAUAGCCAUCACCAGCAUCUGUUUGAUCGUAGAUAGGCUCAAAAAGUUUGCAUGCAUCUUGAAUAUCCUUCACCACAAGCUCCCAAUAUGCACUUUCAAUAUCUUUUCCCGAUUGAACAAGUUCUCUGAAUUGGUCGUUGUAAGCAUUUGAAGACGAAAUUGCUUUCUGGAAAAUUGCUGGGUUGCUAGUUACACCUCUGACACCCUUAGAAAUAAGAGGAAGCAAGUCAGUGACAGGGCGGCAGAGAUUAUCGUACCAUGGGGACUGUCCUUCCUUUUCAUAGAGAUCAUGAAGCACCGUUCUCUUCACUGGGAUUCCAUUUCCAUCACCUUGGGAACACCUAACAACCAAGGAACCCUUCAAACCGGAAGCUCUGUGAAGGGACAAUUUAGACGCGGAGAGCUUGGUGAAGAAGUCAGAAGAGGGGCGGAAGGCGAUGAAGGAGCUGGAGGAGAGGGAAGAUCGCGGGUUAACAGAGGAGGAUAGAGAAGGAGCAGAGAUGGAAGUGGACAGCUUGGAAAUGGAAGCCAUGCGAGCAAGCGAUCAAAGGAAGAGCCGCCGAGACGAGGGAGAAGAUGGUUGGUGAAAUGGGAGAUGCUUUUGGUGG